GGCACGCCUAACACAUGCAAGUCGAACGAAGUAGCAAUACUUAGUGGCAGACGGGUGAGUAACAUGUAGGUAUCUGCCCUUUGGCCUGGAAUAACACGAGGAAACUUGUGCUAAUACCGGAUAAGUCUUUACGGAGAAAGCUUUAUGCACCAUUGGAUGAGCCUGCACUUGAUUAGUUUGUUGGUGGGGUAAUGGCCUACCAAGACUGUGAUCAAUAGCUGAUUUGAGAGGAUGAUCAGCCACAUUGGGACUGAGACACGGCCCAAACUCCUACGGGAGGCAGCAGUGGGGAAUCUUGCACAAUGGAGGAAACUCUGAUGCAGCGAUGCCGCGUGAGUGAAGAAGGCCUUUGGGUUGUAAAGCUCUUUCGUCGGGGAAGAAAAUGACUGUACCCGAAUAAGAAGGUCCGGCUAACUUCGUGCCAGCAGCCGCGGUAAUACGAAGGGACCUAGCGUAGUUCGGAAUUACUGGGCUUAAAGAGUUCGUAGGUGGUUGAAAAAGUUGGUGGUGAAAUCCCAGAGCUUAACUCUGGAACUGCCAUCAAAACUUUUCAGCUAGAGUAUGAUAGAGGAAAGCAGAAUUUCUAGUGUAGAGGUGAAAUUCGUAGAUAUUAGAAAGAAUACCAAUUGCGAAGGCAGCUUUCUGGAUCAUUACUGACACUGAGGAACGAAAGCAUGGGUAGCGAAGAGGAUUAGAUACCCUCGUAGUCCAUGCCGUAAACGAUGUGUGUUAGACGUUGGAAAUUUAUUUUCAGUGUCGCAGCGAAAGCGAUAAACACACCGCCUGGGGAGUACGACCGC
RNAcentral lists this ribosomal RNA (800 nucleotides) under uncultured Pelagibacteraceae bacterium. Its description in RNAcentral is "bacterial SSU rRNA". It matches the Rfam family "Bacterial small subunit ribosomal RNA", at positions 41 to 889 of the family's 1533-position model. The record is from RNAcentral. Lineage: Bacteria; Pseudomonadati; Pseudomonadota; Alphaproteobacteria; Candidatus Pelagibacterales; Candidatus Pelagibacteraceae.